GAUGAACGCUGGCGGCGUGCCUAAUACAUGCAAGUCGAGCGAACGGACGAGAAGCUUGCUUCUCUGAUGUUAGCGGCGGACGGGUGAGUAACACGUGGUUAACCUACCUAUAAGACUGGGAUAACUUCGGGAAACCGGAGCUAAUACCGGAUAAUAUUUUGAACCGCAUGGUUCAAAAGUGAAAGACGGUCUUGCUGUCACUUAUAGAUGGAUCCGCGCUGCAUUAGCUAGUUGGUAAGGUAACGGCUUACCAAGGCAACGAUGCAUAGCCGACCUGAGAGGGUGAUCGGCCACACUGGAACUGAGACGCGGUCCAGACUCCUACGGGAGGCAGCAGUAGGGAAUCUUCCGCAAUGGGCGAAAGCCUGACGGAGCAACGCCGCGUGAGUGAUGAAGGUCUUCGGAUCGUAAAACUCUGUUAUUAGGGAAGAACAUAUGUGUAAGUAACUGUGCACAUCUUGACGGUACCUAAUCAGAAAGCCACGGCUAACUACGUG
This 497-nucleotide ribosomal RNA is filed under the name uncultured bacterium. Its description in RNAcentral is "partial 16S ribosomal RNA". It matches the Rfam family "Bacterial small subunit ribosomal RNA", at positions 28 to 507 of the family's 1533-position model. The record is from RNAcentral.